This 69-nucleotide transfer RNA is filed under the name Choroedocus capensis. Its description in RNAcentral is "tRNA-Arg". Lineage: Eukaryota; Metazoa; Arthropoda; Insecta; Orthoptera; Acrididae. The record is from RNAcentral.
GAAUAAGAAGCGAAUUAUUGCAGUCAGUUUCGACCUGAAAAAUUGGUAAUAACUAAUUACCCUUAUUCU